ACUAAGCGUACACGGUGGAUGCCCUGGCAGUCAGAGGCGAUGAAGGACGUGCUAAUCUGCGAAAAGCGCCGGCGAGGUGAUAUGAACCCUUGACCCGGCGAUGUCCGAAUGGGGAAACCCAGUGCAAUCCGUUGCACUAUCGUUAACUGAAUACAUAGGUUAACGAGGCGAACCGGGGGAACUGAAACAUCUAAGUACCCCGAGGAAAAGAAAUCAACCGAGAUUCCCCCAGUAGCGGCGAGCGAACGGGGAGCAGCCCGGAGUCUGAAUCAGCUUGUGUGUUAGUGGAACGGUCUGGAAAGUCCGACGGUACAGGGUGAUAGUCCCGUACACGAAAAUGCACAUGCUGUGAACUCGAAGAGUAGGGCGGGACACGUGGUAUCCUGUCUGAAUAUGGGGGGACCAUCCUCCAAGGCUAAAUACUCCUGACUGACCGAUAGUGAACCAGUACCGUGAGGGAAAGGCGAAAAGAACCCCGGCGAGGGGAGUGAAAAAGAACCUGAAACCGUGUACGUACAAGCAGUGGGAGCCUCUUUAUGGGGUGACUGCGUACCUUUUGUAUAAUGGGUCAGCGACUUAUAUUCUGUAGCAAGGUUAACCGUAUAGGGGAGCCGAAGGGAAACCGAGUCUUAACUGGGCGUUAAGUUGCAGGGUAUAGACCCGAAACCCGGUGAUCUAGCCAUGGGCAGGUUGAAGGUUGGGUAACACUAACUGGAGGACCGAACCGACUAAUGUUGAAAAAUUAGCGGAUGACCUGUGGCUGGGGGUGAAAGGCCAAUCAAACCGGGAGAUAGCUGGUUCUCCCCGAAAGCUAUUUAGGUAGCGCCUCGUGAACUCAUCUUCGGGGGUAGAGCACUGUUUCGGCUAGGGGGCCAUCCCGGCUUACCAACCCGAUGCAAACUACGAAUACCGAAGAAUGUUAUCACGGGAGACACACGGCGGGUGCUAACGUCCGUCGUGAAGAGGGAAACAACCCAGACCGCCAGCUAAGGUCCCAAAGUCAUGGUUAAGUGGGAAACGAUGUGGGAAGGCACAGACAGCCAGGAUGUUGGCUUAGAAGCAGCCAUCAUUUAAAGAAAGCGUAAUAGCUCACUGGUCGAGUCGGCCUGCGCGGAAGAUGUAACGGGGCUAAACCAUGCACCGAAGCUGCGGCAGCGACACUUAUGUGUUGUUGGGUAGGGGAGCGUUCUGUAAGCCGUUGAAGGUGUGCUGUGAGGCAUGCUGGAGGUAUCAGAAGUGCGAAUGCUGACAUAAGUAACGAUAAAGCGGGUGAAAAGCCCGCUCGCCGGAAGACCAAGGGUUCCUGUCCAACGUUAAUCGGGGCAGGGUGAGUCGACCCCUAAGGCGAGGCCGAAAGGCGUAGUCGAUGGGAAACAGGUUAAUAUUCCUGUACUUGGUGUUACUGCGAAGGGGGGACGGAGAAGGCUAUGUCAGCCGGGCGACGGUUGUCCCGGUUUAAGCAUGUAGGCGGAGGUUCCAGGUAAAUCCGGUACCUUGUUAACGCUGAGGUGUGAUGACGAGGCACUACGGUGCUGAAGUGAUAAAUGCCCUGCUUCCAGGAAAAGCCUCUAAGCAUCAGGUAACACGAAAUCGUACCCCAAACCGACACAGGUGGUCAGGUAGAGAAUACCAAGGCGCUUGAGAGAACUCGGGUGAAGGAACUAGGCAAAAUGGUGCCGUAACUUCGGGAGAAGGCACGCUGAUGUGUAGGUGAAGCCCCUGCGGGUGGAGCUGAAAUCAGUCGAAGAUACCAGCUGGCUGCAACUGUUUAUUAAAAACACAGCACUGUGCAAACACGAAAGUGGACGUAUACGGUGUGACGCCUGCCCGGUGCCGGAAGGUUAAUUGAUGGGGUUAGCGGCAACGCGAAGCUCUUGAUCGAAGCCCCGGUAAACGGCGGCCGUAACUAUAACGGUCCUAAGGUAGCGAAAUUCCUUGUCGGGUAAGUUCCGACCUGCACGAAUGGCGUAAUGAUGGCCAGGCUGUCUCCACCCGAGACUCAGUGAAAUUGAACUCGCUGUGAAGAUGCAGUGUACCCGCGGCAAGACGGAAAGACCCCGUGAACCUUUACUAUAGCUUGACACUGAACACUGGUCCUUGAUGUGUAGGAUAGGUGGGAGGCUUUGAAGCGUGGACGCCAGUCUGCGUGGAGCCAACCUUGAAAUACCACCCUUUAAUGGCUGGUGUUCUAACGUAGACCCGUAAUCCGGGUUGCGGACAGUGUCUGGUGGGUAGUUUGACUGGGGCGGUCUCCUCCCAAAGAGUAACGGAGGAGCACGAAGGUUGGCUAAUCCUGGUCGGACAUCAGGAGGUUAGUGCAAUGGCAUAAGCCAGCUUGACUGCGAGCGUGACGGCGCGAGCAGGUGCGAAAGCAGGUCAUAGUGAUCCGGUGGUUCUGAAUGGAAGGGCCAUCGCUCAACGGAUAAAAGGUACUCCGGGGAUAACAGGCUGAUACCGCCCAAGAGUUCAUAUCGACGGCGGUGUUUGGCACCUCGAUGUCGGCUCAUCACAUCCUGGGGCUGAAGUAGGUCCCAAGGGUAUGGCUGUUCGCCAUUUAAAGUGGUACGCGAGCUGGGUUUAGAACGUCGUGAGACAGUUCGGUCCCUAUCUGCCGUGGGCGCUGGAGAAUUGAGGGGGGCUGCUCCUAGUACGAGAGGACCGGAGUGGACGCAUCACUGGUGUUCGGGUUGUCAUGCCAAUGGCACUGCCCGGUAGCUAAAUGCGGAAGAGAUAAGUGCUGAAAGCAUCUAAGCACGAAACUUGCCCCGAGAUGAGUUCUCCCUGAGACUUUAAGUCUCCUGAAGGAACGUUGAAGACGACGACGUUGAUAGGUCGGGUGUGUAAGCGCAGCGAUGCGUUGAGCUAACCGAUACUAAUGAACCGUGAGGCUUAACC
Molecule: ribosomal RNA, 2895 nt
Filed under: Enterobacter cloacae
Lineage: Bacteria; Pseudomonadati; Pseudomonadota; Gammaproteobacteria; Enterobacterales; Enterobacteriaceae
Description: bacterial LSU rRNA
Rfam family: Bacterial large subunit ribosomal RNA
Source: RNAcentral